This is a long non-coding RNA of Apodemus sylvaticus (European woodmouse), 538 nucleotides long. RefSeq lists it as uncharacterized. The record is from RefSeq and is a predicted model, not a curated record. Lineage: Eukaryota; Metazoa; Chordata; Mammalia; Rodentia; Muridae. The transcript is spliced from 3 exons.
UUGGGGUCACAGUCCAGGACGUGGUUUUCCUUUUAUUUCCACAGAUGCAGUGAGAGUCUUUGUGGUCCCCCACUGGGACUGCCAGGAAAUCAGGAGAACUCUCUAGGUCCACACGGAUCUGUUCCCAAACCCAGACAGGCAGAAGGAAUCAGGACGAGGGGCAAGAAGCUAACAGGAGGAGAGUGCGGAAGCCCAGAGACUGAGAUGCACCAGAAUGGUUUUUUGUCACUGAGAUCUGCUCCCAAGUACCCACACUGUGAUCACCUGAACCUUCAAGUCACUGUUCUCACAGUUCACUUUCAAUGAGGGAUUACCUGAAAAAUGCUGUGUGCGUCGUCGUCACUCAGAGAGUGCUUUGGCGUGUACACGAUCCCGUUGUGAGUGAUGUCUUCUGCGUUGAUGCAGUUCUCAUUGUUUUCGAACAAUGGGGCACCGAAGUAAUCAGCCUGGGCUGCCUUUCCUGGCAGCAAACUAUAGAUCUGUACAUUGGAGGAGAACAAAGGGAAACUGUUUCUUGUUCUACUGCUUGAAGGAUUUU